GCAUGCGUAGCUCAGCUGGAUAGAGCAUCGGUCUUCGAAACCGAAUGUCGUUGGUUCGAAUCCAACCGCGUGCG
This 74-nucleotide transfer RNA is filed under the name Planctomycetota bacterium. RNAcentral describes it as "tRNA-Arg". It matches the Rfam family "tRNA". Rfam says of the family: Transfer RNA (tRNA) molecules are approximately 80 nucleotides in length. Their secondary structure includes four short double-helical elements and three loops (D, anti-codon, and T loops). Further hydrogen bonds mediate the characteristic L-shaped molecular structure. tRNAs have two regions of fundamental functional importance: the anti-codon, which is responsible for specific mRNA codon recognition, and the 3' end, to which the tRNAs corresponding amino acid is attached (by aminoacyl-tRNA synthetases). tRNAs cope with the degeneracy of the genetic code in two manners: having more than one tRNA (with a specific anti-codon) for a particular amino acid; and 'wobble' base-pairing, i.e. permitting non-standard base-pairing at the 3rd anti-codon position. The record is from RNAcentral. RNAcentral also lists the same sequence under 1 other name. Lineage: Bacteria; Pseudomonadati; Planctomycetota.